GACUCCAUAGCUAAGUGGUUAUAGCAUGAGAUUGCAGAUCUCGGGGUCGCGUGUUCGAGUCACGCUGGGGUCU
RNAcentral lists this transfer RNA (73 nucleotides) under Armillaria ostoyae. It matches the Rfam family "tRNA". Rfam says of the family: Transfer RNA (tRNA) molecules are approximately 80 nucleotides in length. The record is from RNAcentral. Lineage: Eukaryota; Fungi; Basidiomycota; Agaricomycetes; Agaricales; Physalacriaceae.